Long non-coding RNA from Oreochromis aureus, 680 nucleotides. RefSeq lists it as uncharacterized. The transcript has 3 exons. Lineage: Eukaryota; Metazoa; Chordata; Actinopteri; Cichliformes; Cichlidae. The record is from RefSeq and is a predicted model, not a curated record.
GCAUUAUGGAUCAAAUCUUUAGUACUGCAUUAAGGUUAUUGUAGUUAACUAAAACUAAAAAUAGAUGUGAAAAAACAUUUUAAUGAAUUAGAAAUUUGGAGAAUUUGGGAUUUUUAUUUGUUAUGCUAGUAGCAGCCAAUUACCCUUGAGAAGCUAGCCUUGGCAGAGACAGGACUGAUAAGCUCACUCCUUUCUAACUCCAUACACUCACACUCCGAGUUUUCACAGUUGUAGUAUUCAGGACCAGCUGGCGCUGACUCAAGUGACAUCAGACUUCAAGUCCAUAGAUAAAGCAAAAAAAGAGGAGGAUUAGGUGGAGGAAGAAGAAGAGGGAGGACAAGAUCAGUGCCCUGGCGUCAGAUCAGGCCACAGGAGUUUGCUUCUAUAUAUAAUGACAACAAAGUGACAUACCACUAAAGAAAGCAGAAUCCAUCUCUAUCUGCAAUCCAUCUCUGUUUAUGUGACCCAAACCCAGUGCUUCCCCCCCUUACUAGAAAACCUGCCCUGAAAAUUUAUUGCAAACACAUUUCUUUUUCGGAAGAGGAGGAUUAGGAGAGAGAAGAAGAAGAAGAAGAGGGAGAAGGAAGCUGACUCUGGAACAUCAUGUGCAAAAAGAACAGGCUGCAGUGGUUGGUAUGAGAUGAAAAGAGACUGCAUAAAACAUGUACUGGUGGCUUGCU